This 29-nucleotide non-coding RNA is filed under the name Mus musculus (house mouse). The record is from RNAcentral. Lineage: Eukaryota; Metazoa; Chordata; Mammalia; Rodentia; Muridae.
UGCACCCUAAGCUCUUAGUACUGUUAUGC